UUAGGUUUACCUUUUUCCCUCUAUUUUCUUUGAUGUUCAAUUGUUACAGCCUUAUAGGUGGCUUUCAUGCACUUCUUUUGAUCUUUGUUCAUCCUUUGCCUUGGCAAUAGAACUUCAUGCUUCAUCUUUGUUCUUCUCAAAGUACUCUUGCAAUUUCCAGCCUUUCAUCUUCGAGCUUCUCCAAGUACAACCUUUUCAUCUUCAAUCUUCUCCUAAAACUGCUUCAAUUUUGAGGUUUCGUGGAUAUGCUCUAUUUCUUAUGUCCAAUGGGCCAAGUCAGUUCUAUAAGUGUGGACUCAAAAAGAGUGCAUUUAGCAAAUGAAUGGUUACAACAACACCAAUAUGCAAAGCGAUUUUGGUCCUUCAAGAAUUAGGAUAUCAUGGGGCUAAAAUGCCUUUUGGAUAUAGUUGUUGGAGUAACCUUAGCACUUCUACAUAGUAAUGAUUACUCUUUGCAUUAGGUUGGAUGGUUUGUUUUGCUGGCCAACUUGAGUUUAUUGUGGUGCCAAUUGACAGAGAAAUUAAAACUCAUAGAAAGCCUGAAGUUCAUCCACAACUGCUAACAGUUCCAAAUGCCCAGACAACAAAGAAGAAGUGGUAUUUGUUAUAGAUCCGUACAUUGAUCACAUACUUCUUAUCUCACCUGCUGCAUUCUCAAUACAUAUUUGACUACAAAGGUUUAUAUUUUAUUUAUAGUUAUCUAUUUAUGUUGCUGUGAUUGGUGAAACAUACAACGAGCUUCAUACAUGUAACACUUUAAUAUUUUGGUGUUGGCUUU
Molecule: long non-coding RNA, 778 nt
Organism: Solanum pennellii
Lineage: Eukaryota; Viridiplantae; Streptophyta; Magnoliopsida; Solanales; Solanaceae
Exons: 3
Source: RefSeq, a predicted model, not a curated record